RNAcentral lists this microRNA precursor (82 nucleotides) under Ascaris suum (pig roundworm). Its description in RNAcentral is "microRNA asu-mir-5356a precursor". The record is from miRBase by way of RNAcentral. Lineage: Eukaryota; Metazoa; Nematoda; Chromadorea; Rhabditida; Ascarididae.
UUGCACUUCUUCCCGCCCACGUCGUAAUUAACUGAGAGUAAGGUUCGUCUGUUACUUCCGAGGUGGGAGGAAAGACGUAAAA